CUUGGGAUAUAGCUCAGUGAUACAACGCGUGCUUAGCAUGUACGAAGUCGUGGGUUCAAUCCCCAGCACCAAGA
This 74-nucleotide transfer RNA is filed under the name Marmota monax (woodchuck). RNAcentral's name for it is "tRNA.Ala". Lineage: Eukaryota; Metazoa; Chordata; Mammalia; Rodentia; Sciuridae. The record is from RNAcentral.